RNAcentral lists this ribosomal RNA (469 nucleotides) under uncultured bacterium. Its description in RNAcentral is "partial 16S ribosomal RNA". It matches the Rfam family "Bacterial small subunit ribosomal RNA", at positions 28 to 508 of the family's 1533-position model. The record is from RNAcentral.
GACGAACGCUGGCGGCGUGCUUAACACAUGCAAGUCGAACGGAAAGGCCCUGCUUUUGUGGGGUGCUCGAGUGGCGAACGGGUGAGUAACACGUGAGUAACCUGCCCUUGACUUUGGGAUAACUUCAGGAAACUGGGGCUAAUACCGGAUAGGAGCUCCUGCUGCAUGGUGGGGGUUGGAAAGUUUCGGCGGUUGGGGAUGGACUCGCGGGUUAUCAGCUUGUUGGUGGGGUAGUGGCUUACCAAGGCUUUGACGGGUAGCCGGCCUGGGAGGGUGACCGGCGACAAUGGGACUGAGAGACGGCGCAGACGCCUACGGGAGGCAACAGGGGGGAAUAUUGCACAAUGGGGGGAAGCCUGAGGCAGCAACGCCGCGUGCGUGAAGACGGGCUUCGGGUUGAAAACCGCGUUCGCCUGGGACGGAGCGUGAGUGACGGUAAUGGGUAAAGAAACACCGGCUAACUACGGGC